AAGCGGAACCCAAUUCAGGUUUUCCAUCAUCGAGUUCUCUUGUAAAGAACAUUCCAUUUCUUAAGUGGUCUUCGCUCGAAAUCAACAGUACCAUAGUUGUGGAUUUUUGAAAUGGACAAGUCAACGAGAGUCUUCCUCUUCUCUGAUAAAUGUAACGGACACUGAGGCUUUGUUUGAAUGGAAGAGUGUGAGAAUAGAAGAGAGAAGAUGAAAGAGAAAGCGAAGAUUGAAUUUGAAGAGGUGUCGUCAUCAUUCUGUGAAGAAAAUUCGAAAAUGGCUAUGAAGCAUGUGGAAAAAGUUUUUGUUCAAGAUAAUGAAAA
This 320-nucleotide long non-coding RNA is filed under the name Lathyrus oleraceus (garden pea). RNAcentral's name for it is "Pisum sativum (pea) long non-coding RNA (PSAT_LNC022281)". Lineage: Eukaryota; Viridiplantae; Streptophyta; Magnoliopsida; Fabales; Fabaceae. The record is from RNAcentral.